This 676-nucleotide long non-coding RNA is filed under the name Homo sapiens (human). RNAcentral's name for it is "non-protein coding lnc-SOX5-5:13". Lineage: Eukaryota; Metazoa; Chordata; Mammalia; Primates; Hominidae. The record is from RNAcentral.
AAAGGGAUUUCACCUCGUCCUUGAGAGCAACACGGGGAGCGCGAGCGAGCGGGCGAGCGAGAGACGGGGGGAGAGAGAGGGACACGCGCGCGCACACACACACACACCGGCACACACGCACACACACAGACACACACACACAGAGUGAAAAAGGCGAGCCACCAAAACCCAUCUCCAGUCUCCUCCCGGGGGCCCCCAGCCCGCCUCUGUGCCACUUUGCAUCCCACGCCGGAGGAGGCAUUAACGAGACCGGGUAAGGCUUUUUAAACGGUCCAAGGUGUAGAGCCAUACUUCAGGAGGAUCCUCAGAAGUUUUGGACAAGCCUCCCCAAAUGUGGCAGGUGCUGUGCUGGCCAUUGGUGACCCAAAGAUGAUGAAAAAUAUGUUCCUGCCCACAAGGAGUUAGCGACCUACUGGGCUUUCCUCUUGCUGAUGACAUGAUUCCUGUUUGAAUCUGUUGACAAGAUUCUGAAAGCUGAACAGAGAAUUCUGGCACUGCACUGGGUAGGAAAAAGCAUUUCAAGAAAUAGAUAAUAUCAAGGACAUCAGGACACCGGGAGUGGGAGAGAUUGGACUGGGAGACUCAGCAGGUCAGGACAUUUACAUUACCAUUUGCUGGUCAUUCUUUUGCCAUCAGUUUUACAAUUCUCAAAUCUCUUGCCACUUGCUUAUUUCUU